Molecule: ribosomal RNA, 425 nt
Filed under: uncultured organism
Description: SSU rRNA
Rfam family: Bacterial small subunit ribosomal RNA
Source: RNAcentral
GGCCGCGGGAUUGUGCCAGCCGCCGCGGUAAUACGUAGGUGGCAAGCGUUGUCCGGAAUUAUUGGGCGUAAAGCGCGCGCAGGCGGUUCCUUAAGUCUGAUGUGAAAGCCCCCGGCUCAACCGGGGAGGGUCAUUGGAAACUGGGGAACUUGAGUGCAGAAGAGAAGAGUGGAAUUCCACGUGUAGCGGUGAAAUGCGUAGAGAUGUGGAGGAACACCAGUGGCGAAGGCGACUCUUUGGUCUGUAACUGACGCUGAGGCGCGAAAGCGUGGGGAGCAAACAGGAUUAGAUACCCUGGUAGUCCACGCCGUAAACGAUGAGUGCUAAGUGUUAGAGGGUUUCCGCCCUUUAGUGCUGCAGCAAACGCAUUAAGCACUCCGCCUGGGGAGUACGGCCGCAAGGCUGAAACUCAAAGGAAUUGACGG